AACGAACGCUGGCGGCAUGCCUAACACAUGCAAGUCGAACGAGACCUUCGGGUCUAGUGGCGCACGGGUGCGUAACGCGUGGGAACCUGCCCUUAGGUUCGGAAUAACUCCCCGAAAGGGGUGCUAAUACCGGAUAAUGUCUUCGGACCAAAGAUUUAUCGCCUUUGGAUGGGCCCGCGUUGGAUUAGCUAGUUGGUAGGGUAAAAGCCUACCAAGGCGACGAUCCAUAGCUGGUCUGAGAGGAUGAUCAGCCACACUGGGACUGAGACACGGCCCAGACCCCGACGGAAGGAGGGAGGGGGGAAUUUUGGACAAUGGGGGAAGGCCUGACCCACCAUUGCCGGGUGGUUGAUGAAGCCUUUGGGGUUGAAAAGCUUUUUUCCCCGGGAUGAUAAUGACAGUACCGGGAAAAAAAGCCCCGGCUAACUCCGUG
RNAcentral lists this ribosomal RNA (433 nucleotides) under uncultured bacterium. Its description in RNAcentral is "partial 16S ribosomal RNA". It matches the Rfam family "Bacterial small subunit ribosomal RNA", at positions 29 to 507 of the family's 1533-position model. The record is from RNAcentral.